This is a non-coding RNA of Ciona intestinalis (vase tunicate), 723 nucleotides long. NCBI's taxonomy places the organism in Eukaryota, Metazoa, Chordata, Ascidiacea, Phlebobranchia, Cionidae. The record is from RefSeq and is a predicted model, not a curated record.
AUAGAAUGGAAUCCGUUGUGGAAAAGUCGUCAAAUUUGUUGGAUGCGUUGGAAGUUAGCACAACAUCUAAAGUUAAACAAUUUGACGAAAGAAGACUUAACCGAGCCUUUGAAUGGACAAACUACUUUAAGAAGGUGUAUGAAAGUGUUUCUCAAAACCCCAAACUGCUGGAAAACUGAACGCCAGGUUAAAAACCCUGGCUUUAUCUAGAAAUAUGAAACUCCCUGAAGAUUAUUUUAGUUUAAAUAUAUUCUGUGAUGGUGAACAAAUUUUGUUCAAGUUUUCUUUCAGAACUUUCUUUUUAACCCUGAUUUUCCGGCCAUAUUGCUACCUUCAUUGUCAACAAAAUCUGUUAAAACUAAUGUUUCUGCCAAGGAAACGUUUCCUUAAGACAGCAGUAGAUGUCAGUCAGGAAAAAGCUGUUUUAUGUCAUUUACAAAAUGUGCAAGCUCAAUUGGUAGCAGUAACUUCGGAACAGGCGACAAGUUAAUGAAACAACUCCUGAAGUAAUUUUGACAGAUGAUUUGAAAGGUUUUUUAAAGUUGGAAGAUACCUCUCUGUCCCGUGCUGUACAAGUUGGCACAGUCUAUUCCAGUUGGUGCUUGUUGCAGCACACAUGUGCCUUCAGCAUUGCUCUCUUCUUCAUUCACUUCUGCACAUGUGGUCCCAGAACAUGAAAAAGAUGCUGCCAAUAAAGAUAGCUUUACUUAGCCUACUUCCCAA